AGAGCGAACGCUGGCGGCAGGCCUAACACAUGCAAGUCGAGCGCCCGUAGCAAUACGGGAGCGGCAGACGGGUGAGUAACGCGUGGGAACAUACCCUCCGGUUCGGAAUAACUCAGGGAAACUUGAGCUAAUACCGGAUACGGCAACCAAGAGAGAUUUUGGCGGCGAAAGAUUUAUCGCCGGAGGAUUGGCCCGCGUCCGAUUAGCUAGUUGGUGUGGUAAUGGCGCACCAAGGCGACGAUCGGUAGCUGGUCUGAGAGGAUGAUCAGCCACAUUGGGACUGAGACACGGCCCAAACUCCUACGGGAGGCAGCAGUGGGGAAUAUUGGACAAUGGGCGCAAGCCUGAUCCAGCCAUGCCGCGUGAGUGAUGAAGGCCUUAGGGUUGUAAAGCUCUUUCACCCACGACGAUAAUGACGGUAGUGGGAGAAGAAGCCCGGCUAACUUCGUGCCAGCAGCCGC
This 461-nucleotide ribosomal RNA is filed under the name uncultured bacterium. RNAcentral describes it as "SSU rRNA". It matches the Rfam family "Bacterial small subunit ribosomal RNA", at positions 26 to 518 of the family's 1533-position model. The record is from RNAcentral.